RNAcentral lists this ribosomal RNA (368 nucleotides) under Neoancistrocrania norfolki. RNAcentral's name for it is "partial 16S ribosomal RNA". It matches the Rfam family "Archaeal large subunit ribosomal RNA", at positions 2083 to 2631 of the family's 2987-position model. The record is from RNAcentral. Lineage: Eukaryota; Metazoa; Brachiopoda; Craniata; Craniida; Craniidae.
GUGGGAGUAGCUGUCUUCCAGGCACAUAUGGAACUUAUCUUGUAGGUGAACAGACCUUUUUUUGACUUCGGGACGGGUAGACCCCGAUGAACUUGAUAGCGGUGUGCGAUUUUUCGCGGAGGUUAAUUUACUCCGCGCUUUAUUGUGCCUUCUUCGGUUGGGAAAACCGGGGGAAUGAUGAAAUUCUGCUUGUUGUUUUGUUUGGGAUAACUAUGGAGACCUUUGGGUGAGGGAAUUGGUAUAUGAGACUGUUGGAAAAAGAAAAGUUACCGCGGGGAUAACAGCACUGUCUCCUCGGAGAGAAUACAUUGCANAGGGGGGUUUGUGACCUCGAUUUUGGAUCAUUUGAUUCUGGGCGGUGAAAGAGG